Long non-coding RNA from Rhinopithecus roxellana (golden snub-nosed monkey), 657 nucleotides. RefSeq lists it as uncharacterized. Lineage: Eukaryota; Metazoa; Chordata; Mammalia; Primates; Cercopithecidae. The transcript is spliced from 4 exons. The record is from RefSeq and is a predicted model, not a curated record.
CUUGCAGAAACGUGCGAAGGUCUCUGAGGGCCUGGCCUCAGUCUGUGGAGCAAAUCCAGCUGCCCGAGCGCGUUCCCCGACCUGGGUGUUGAAUCCCUGCAGCUGCUCCUGCCGCACGUCCACCAGGAGGCUCUCGUCGUCUGCUUCGAUGCCGAAGGCCACGAAGGGCCCCGUGGCGAUGUCCCCCCAGUACCCGCGCGCUGCCACGCGCUCCCCGCGCUGGAAAAGGAGGCAGAGAGGAGGCGGAACAGAGGAACGAUUCCCCUGUUUCUCGGAUGGAAAAACUGAGGUUCCGAAAGCAGAAGCAACCUGCUGCCCCCAGGCCAAAUCCCACAGUGGGAGUCGGGGAACUGGGAUUCGAACUCCCGAACCCGCCGCCUGCUCCAUCAACACACGUCCUUUGGACUGCGCACUUCCAUUCUUCCCGCGGCCACCCGAUCCCAGAUGGAGGCCGGGCGGCGGCACCUUGAGGGCGCGGAGGCUGAGCCAGGGCAGCUGCUCCUCCAGGCGGUCCGGCUCGGGGACCAGAUGGAGUUUUGCUCUCGUUACCCAGGCUGGAGUGCAAUGGCACGAUCUCGGCUCACUGCAACCUCUGCCUCCCAGGAAAAUAACCAAACUUGUUCAUUGUACCAUUGAAAUGCCAGAAUCCCUCUAGGG